Molecule: transfer RNA, 72 nt
Filed under: Camelus bactrianus (Bactrian camel)
Lineage: Eukaryota; Metazoa; Chordata; Mammalia; Artiodactyla; Camelidae
Also listed under: 2 other names
Rfam family: tRNA
About the family: Transfer RNA (tRNA) molecules are approximately 80 nucleotides in length. Their secondary structure includes four short double-helical elements and three loops (D, anti-codon, and T loops).
Source: Rfam by way of RNAcentral
GAGGGUAUAGCUCAGCAGUAGAGCACGUGCUUAGCAUGCACAAGGUCCUGGAUUCAAGCCCCAGUACCUCCA